This 438-nucleotide long non-coding RNA is filed under the name Malus domestica (apple). RNAcentral's name for it is "long non-coding RNA (MDOM_LNC007944)". Lineage: Eukaryota; Viridiplantae; Streptophyta; Magnoliopsida; Rosales; Rosaceae. The record is from RNAcentral.
CCAACCUCAACUGCACCAUCGCCAUUCUUGCUCUUUUGAUAAGAUAUCGCCCCUGUUCCAUCUAUCGAAACUAUCUCGUGCUUCGUCGGUCUCCCCCAUCCGAAAUCCGCCGCAUCGUAAAAAUCAAACCGGGGUGAACCGGCGGUGGUAAUUGUUCUAUCAGUACUAGGCUGCAGUAGUGUAUUCAAGAUUCUUGAGACCCAAGUCUCUGCACCCUCGAAAAGGGUCUUGUCCAAACUUUUUAUAACUUCACUAAUUGCAUUCAAGGCCACUAACAGUCCAUCUUCUCCCUGUAGGUCUUUUGUUUUCGCAACUACUCCAUGUCCUGCGAUGCAAUUCCCGAAAUAGGUUGGUGGUAGAGGAGGGUCUAAGCGCGACCGGCAGUCCACGUGAAGGAUGAAUACUACUUUCUCUGUCUUGAUCUCUUCAGCCCUGACU